AUACGGAGGAUCCGAGCGUUAUCCGGAUUUAUUGGGUUUAAAGGGUGCGCAGGCGGCCAUUUAAGUCAGCGGUUAAGUCGUGGGGCUCAACCCCAUUCUGCCGUUGAUACUGGGUGGCUUGAUUGCGGUCGAGGUUGGCGGAAUUCGUUGUGUAGCGGUGAAAUGCAUAGAUAUGACGAAGAACACCGAUUGCGUAGGCAGCUGACCAGACCGCAAAUGACGCUCAUGCACGAAAGUGCGGGGAUCGAACAGGAUUAGAUACCCUGGUAGUCCGCACAGUAAACGAUGAAUACUUGUUUUCGGCGAUAUAAUGUCAGAGGCAAAGCGAAAGCGAUAAGUAUUCCACCUGGGGAGUACGCCGGCAACGGUGAAACUCAAAUGAAUUGACGGGG
RNAcentral lists this ribosomal RNA (392 nucleotides) under uncultured bacterium. Its description in RNAcentral is "partial 16S ribosomal RNA". It matches the Rfam family "Bacterial small subunit ribosomal RNA", at positions 523 to 918 of the family's 1533-position model. The record is from RNAcentral.